UACGGGGGGGGCAAGCGUUGUUCGGAAUUACUGGGCGUAAAGGGCUCGUAGGCGGCCAACUAAGUCAGACGUGAAAUCCCUCGGCUUAACCGGGGAACUGCGUCUGAUACUGGAUGGCUUGAAUCCGGGAGAGGGAUGCGGAAUUCCAGGUGUAGCGGUGAAAUGCGCAGAUAUCAGGAGGAACACCGGUGGCGAAGGCGGGUCUCUGGGCCGUAACUGACGCUGAGGAGCGAAAGCAUGGGGAGCGAACAGG
Molecule: ribosomal RNA, 253 nt
Filed under: uncultured bacterium
Lineage: Bacteria
Description: partial 16S ribosomal RNA
Rfam family: Bacterial small subunit ribosomal RNA
Source: RNAcentral